CAUGUUCAACUGUGAUAAUUAGUUAGGUCGUCCAUUUUGCGAAUCCUAUAUUUUGCGCAACUUUUGAAUGGUAGUUGAAGGUGUGACCUGAAGAGAGGAUGUUGAAUAAUGCUCUACCAAUUAAUAUCAACCAUCUAACUUCCACAUAGAGGAUACCAUCACCCUCCAGAAGUAUUCUCCCUCCAUCUUAGGUCACCAAUGGAUCCACCGCCACCGCCGCCACCACCCACAGCUCCACUGCUCGGUCCAGAAAGCCAUGGUGGAGGAUGCUGGGAUUCAUGUUUGUGGUUCCUGUGCUGCUGUGGCCUCUUUUCAUACUGUUGCCCUCCACUGUUUGAGCCUGUGCCUCCUCCUCCCUAAAGCUGCGUUUCUUUAGAUAUAAUUCUUUGGUUCGUCAGAAGAAACCAGAAUACGUAGUUCAUUGACACCUUUAUCUUCUGAUUUUUUUCCCGAAAAAUGUUGUGAUAACAAGAUUUCUUUUGU
Long non-coding RNA from Populus euphratica (Euphrates poplar), 483 nucleotides. RefSeq lists it as uncharacterized. The transcript is spliced from 2 exons. Lineage: Eukaryota; Viridiplantae; Streptophyta; Magnoliopsida; Malpighiales; Salicaceae. The record is from RefSeq and is a predicted model, not a curated record.